ACAGAGUUGUAAUUAUGUAGUCACAGAUAUGACAUACCUCCAUGAAUGAGCUUGGUGGACCUAGAGGAAGUCCCCGAAGAGAAAUCCUCUCUCUCAACGAGCCCAACUCGAAGGCCCCUGGAAACAGCGUCAAGCGCCACACCGCAG
Molecule: long non-coding RNA, 147 nt
Organism: Telopea speciosissima
Lineage: Eukaryota; Viridiplantae; Streptophyta; Magnoliopsida; Proteales; Proteaceae
Exons: 3
Source: RefSeq, a predicted model, not a curated record